RNAcentral lists this long non-coding RNA (398 nucleotides) under Cucumis sativus (cucumber). Its description in RNAcentral is "long non-coding RNA (CSAT_LNC000254)". The record is from RNAcentral. Lineage: Eukaryota; Viridiplantae; Streptophyta; Magnoliopsida; Cucurbitales; Cucurbitaceae.
UGCGUUGAGCCGAUUAGAAGAGUAAGGAGUAGAAGGCUGCGACUGAACGCCUUUGUGAAGACUACACCGGAACGAACCAGGAUGUGUGGUUGGAGAACACAUGCAGGUCCUCUUCUGUUGGCUCUGCUUCUUCACCACUUGAUGAUUCCCACUGGCACGAGACAAAACAGAGAUAGGGCGAUUCGGAGAAAUGGACCGGUCCAGUGAAAAUCUGACCGAUGAGGCGGACGGAGAAGAGGAUCCUUGCAGAUUAACACGAGAAGGAGACACAGAUCUAGGGAAAAAGGAAGUAGCGUUUCUGGUGGAAAAGCUUGAUGUGGAAGAGGCAAAAGCCGAUGAAGAAGAAGAGGAAUAAGAAGAACAGGAGCCGUAGAAUCUCCCAGAAGGCGAAAGAGACC